Molecule: transfer RNA, 98 nt
Filed under: Erwinia rhapontici
Lineage: Bacteria; Pseudomonadati; Pseudomonadota; Gammaproteobacteria; Enterobacterales; Erwiniaceae
Description: tRNA-Leu
Source: RNAcentral
GUUGAUAUUCCUGAGCAUCCAGCAGGCCGUGCUUCUCAAGGAAGCGUCGCGCGGUCAUCGGAUAAGAGAGCGGCAGGUUCGAGCGCUGCAUAGUGAUU